GUGCCGCGAGUGAUUUCAUAAUUUAUAGCGACUGACCUUUGUAAAUAUUUGUGUAGACUAUUGAUUUUAUUUCUGCAUGAUUUGUAUCUGUACUUGUGUUUUUAAUUAUUACGAAGGACCAAAAAUAGAGAUUGAAUACACAAUUAUAAAGUGUCAUAUUGAGGGGAAAAGGCACACUGUUCAUUGUAUCUAGUUUACACACAUC
Molecule: long non-coding RNA, 205 nt
Filed under: Mytilus galloprovincialis (Mediterranean mussel)
Lineage: Eukaryota; Metazoa; Mollusca; Bivalvia; Mytilida; Mytilidae
Source: RNAcentral